Molecule: long non-coding RNA, 630 nt
Organism: Lagenorhynchus albirostris (white-beaked dolphin)
Lineage: Eukaryota; Metazoa; Chordata; Mammalia; Artiodactyla; Delphinidae
Exons: 3
Source: RefSeq, a predicted model, not a curated record
AGGUCUCGCUGAGCUUGUUGGUGAAAAGAGGCUCAGGAAGGUCCCGGAAGAACUGCUUCACCAUAUCUGCCACGUCGUAAGCGGAUUGGUCGUCAUAGCUGACGUUCUCAGGAAAGCUCUCGUUCAUUUGACGUAAGGCAUGGAUUCGAGACUUCACGCCUGAUUUUCGAAAAAGACCCACCUGAAACAAGACACAUUUGGAAUGUCUAGAAAAUGCAAAACAUUGCCAAGAAGAAUCUAAAGAGCAUUUCUCUUCCUCUGGCAACUACUCCAAGUUUCAUCAAAGGGCAUGAGAAGAAAGCAUGUCCUGUCAAAAGAAAAGUUCAAGAUGUCAAAUGAGUGAUUAUCGAAGUGAGAUCCAGCCUUGAUGUGUUUACAUCUCAACUCUUCGGAUUCUGGAAGGAGGCCCGGGACCGUGCCUCAGGGCUGUGCUGCGCGGGAGUUCUCAGAAGCCAAGUGCCCCAGAGCCUGACUGCCUUCCCUGGAAACUGACAGAGAGCUACAACUAAAGCAAUGCUUCCUGCAGGCUACAUCACAUCGAAGCUUUGGAUCGAAGCUUUGGCAGCCCAGAGGCGGGCAGUUAGGCAGAACUCUGGGCAUUAUUUUCAGGAGAUUGGCAGUGAAGGCAAU